CAGAAGAUCAAGUAGAAGUGAAAACAGAGAGAGGGCUCUCCAAGGUUCCUUGAUGAAAACUAAAGCCCACUGGAAAAGUGAAAAUUACUGCAAUAAAGGCACACCAGACCACUGUAGUUGGGCUCCUGCAAGUUCCUGAUUUGCACUGUGCUCUGCUGUCACCUGCUGGUCAUCCAAGAAAAGACAGACGUAUACCGCCCCACAUGGUCAGUACUGGAAACCCAGCAAGAUGCCAAUAAGCUAUGAACGCUUAGUUCCUGAAUAAAUUCUCAUCAGCUGCUCGGAUUUAACCUUCAGUCACCUUAUGACCCAAGCCCUCUCCUAGGGAGGCAGAUCCAGGGGCCACCAAUGGAGAGGAAAGUGAACACCCAGUAGUGGAGCUGUACAAACUGAUUAAAGAAGAGACAAAGAAAGUUGGCGAGUACAAAGAAAGCAUAAGCCAAAAAUAAUGGAACUACCAUAGGAAAUGACCAGUAUGGACAUGGGAGAAGAAAGAAAAUAUUGAAAGAGCUGACCAAAGAAGUUCAAAACAUGAGUGACAAAUUGAUCAAAGAUCGAGACUCCACAAAAAAGGUGUCAGAGA
This is a long non-coding RNA of Heterocephalus glaber (naked mole-rat), 583 nucleotides long. The record is from Ensembl. Lineage: Eukaryota; Metazoa; Chordata; Mammalia; Rodentia; Bathyergidae.